AUUAAACGCUGGCGGCAUGCCUUACACAUGCAAGUCGAACGGCAGCACGGGGGCAACCUUGGUGGCGAGUGGCGAACGGGUGAGUAAAGCAUCGGAACGUGCCCUGGAGUGGGGGAUAACGUAGCGAAAGUUACGCUAAUACCGCAUAUUCUGUGAGCAGGAAAGCAGGGGAUCGCAAGACCUCGCGCUCUGGGAGCGGCCGAUGUCGGAUUAGCUAGUUGGUGGGGUAAAGGCCUACCAAGGCGACGAUCCGUAGCGGGUCUGAGAGGAUGAUCCGCCACACUGGGACUGAGACACGGCCCAGACUCCUACGGGAGGCAGCAGUGGGGAAUUUUGGACAAUGGGCGAAAGCCUGAUCCAGCCAUGCCGCGUGAGUGAAGAAGGCCU
Molecule: ribosomal RNA, 387 nt
Filed under: uncultured bacterium
Lineage: Bacteria
Description: bacterial SSU rRNA
Rfam family: Bacterial small subunit ribosomal RNA
Source: RNAcentral